This 100-nucleotide ribosomal RNA is filed under the name Microtus ochrogaster (prairie vole). Lineage: Eukaryota; Metazoa; Chordata; Mammalia; Rodentia; Cricetidae. The record is from RNAcentral.
AACUGUGGCCAGCCUGCCAUGUACACACGCAAUCUCAUCUGAUCUCAGAAGUGAAGCAGGCUGGUCAGUUUCGUACUCGGAGGGAAGGAUACAGCCCUUU